Molecule: long non-coding RNA, 2396 nt
Organism: Eucalyptus grandis
Lineage: Eukaryota; Viridiplantae; Streptophyta; Magnoliopsida; Myrtales; Myrtaceae
Exons: 7
Source: RefSeq, a predicted model, not a curated record
CCGCGAGCAAUCGACGAACCAGAAGAAUACCGGCGAGAGGAUCGCGAGCAACCGACCGGCGUGCUACCUCCCUCUCUCUCUGCCCUCCCUCUUUCCGACCGACCGGCAUGCGACCUCCCCCUCUCUCUCUGCCCUUCCUCUUUCCGACCGACCGGCAUGCGACCUCCCUCUCUCUCUGCCCUCCCUCUUUCCGACCGGCGAACCACCGCACCACCCCUCCGGCUCCAGAUCUGGCCCCGACUCGUCCGUCCCCUGCUCUUUCUCUCCCCUUGCGUCUCUGUCUGCCCUCCCUCUCUUCGCGGCGAACCAGCGCGUGACCGGCGAACCACUAGCCUGAACACUGAUAAUGUUUAGUUUUUUCAUCAGUUAUUAAUAAAAUCUUAUGUUCCUUAUUCUUUUUUAGCAGACAAGUUCUGGGGAUACCACUGGCAUGAACACUGGAACUUCUUCGGACAUUGGAAAUGCAGGUUUACUUGGACAGUAGAAUCUGUUGAGGCUCCCAAGAGGCCUACGCAAGUUCCUGAUGCCAUUAAGCAUGGGGGAUUUAUUGCUUAUGAGCGAAGGUGUUAAAUAUAGGGACCCUAAUGUUCGGAUGAACGAUUGGAAGGAAGUCAUGGAGGAGUCCAAACCAGGUCCCCUGUUAAAAACUCAGUCUGCCCGGUGCAUGGACUGUGGCACUCCAUUCUGCCAUCAGGAAAACUCUGGAUGUCCUCUUGGAAACAAAAUACCUGAGUUCAAUGAGCUGGUAUACCAAAAUAGGUGGUAGGAAGCACUAGAUCGACUGUUGGAGACAAAUAAUUUCCCCGAGUUUACAGGCCGCAUGUGUCUUGCACUGUGUGAAGGCUCUUGUGUUCUUGGUAUCAUUGAGAAUCCUGUUUCCAUCAAAUAUUGAAUACUCGAUCAUAGACAAGGCCUUUGAGGAGGGUGGAUGGUGCCCCGGCCACCCCAGAAGAGAAUAGGGAAAAAAGUUGCGAUUGUGGGAAGUGGACCGGCUGGAUUGGCUGCAGCUGACUAGCUGAACAGGAUGGGCCAUUUUGUGAUAGUGUAUGAGCGUGGCGAUCGAAUUGGGGGCCUAAUGAUGUAUGGUGUGCCAAACAUGAAGACUGACAAAGUGGAUGUAGUUCAACGGCGAGUUAACUUGAUGGCUUAGGAAGGUGUCAAUUUUGUGGUGAAUGCCAGCAUUGGGAAGGAUUCAUCAUACUCUCUUGAUAGGCUCCAAAAGGAAAAUGAUGCUAUUGUUUUAGCUGUUGGCGCCACAAAACCAAGGGACCUUCCUGUACCUGGACGCGAAUUGUCAGGUGUUCAUUUUGCCAUGGAGUUCCUUCAUGCAAACACAAAGAGCUUGCUUGACAGCAACCUUAAGGAUGGUAACUACAUAUCUGCAAAGGGAAAGAAGGUAGUGGUCAUUGGUGGAGGUGACACUGGCACGGAUUGCAUAGGAACAUCUAUCAGGCAUGGCUGCUGUAGAAUUGUAAACUUGGAGUUGCUUUCUAAGCCACUGGAGAAGAGGGCUCCAGGCAACCCUUGGCCACAGUGGCCUCGCGUCUACCAUGUUGAUUAUGGCCACUAGGAAGCAGCAGCUAAGUUUGGGAAAGACCCAAGGUCUUAUGAAGUGCUAACUAAGCAGUUUAUUGGUGAUGAAAAUGGGGUCGUUAAAGGGCUUGAAGUAGUGUGUGUUAGGUGGGAGAAGGAUGCUAUUGGGAAGUUUCAGUUCAAAGAAAUUGAGGGAUCUGAGGAAAUCAUUGAGGCUGAUCUGGUUUUACUGGCCAUGGGAUUCCUUGGUCCAGAAUCGACUAUUGCAGACAAGUUAGGUCUAGAGAGAGAUGGCAGGUCAAACUUCAAGGCUGACUAUGGCCGGCUUGCGACCAAUGUGGACGGAGUUUUUGCUGCUGGGGAUUGCUGAUGUGGUUAGUCUCUGGUGGUGUGGGCCAUCUCCGAGGGAAGGCAAGCUGCGGUGCAGGUCGAUAGAUUCCUCAUGCCAAAGGAGGAGGAUCUCACCGUCGACCCUGAGGCAUAUAUCUUCUUUCAAAUUAUUCAAUACGGCAUCAACUGCUAAUUGUAUCAUGCUCGCCUGUGGGGGGAGCCAUCUUCAAGUGCUUAUUGUUCUUUUAUGUAUAUAACAAGAUUCUCAUUGCCACCCAAAGUCACUUUUCAUCAUUGAGGCAAUACUUUUGUCCGGGAAAAAGGUGGGUAUAAAACAGAAAAAGCAGAGAACAUCAUUUUUUGUCAUGUCCUUUCCACAGUUGCCCGUGUUGGAUCAAAACAGGCAUCUCGAAUCUUUGAUUCGUCUAUUGUUAUUUAUUGUGCAGUAUUUUGUUGUUUGAUCACAAGAAUGUAGCACUUUCAAACUUAAUUCGGCAUUUGAAGGUUGAAUACAGAACAUGGUCAUUGGUCGA